This is a long non-coding RNA of Rhipicephalus microplus (southern cattle tick), 358 nucleotides long. NCBI's taxonomy places the organism in Eukaryota, Metazoa, Arthropoda, Arachnida, Ixodida, Ixodidae. The record is from RefSeq and is a predicted model, not a curated record.
UCCACCGAGAGUGCCUGGAGAGCUGGAUUCAGCGCACGGUGGACCCCCAGUGCCAGGUCUGCCACUUCCAUUUCACAGUCCGAAAGCAGGCGCAGCCAAUAUGGUGCCUGCUUUCGGAUGCCGAGUACCGCUGUCCAGUGUUCGGAUACCUGGCCUUGGGCGCACUGUUUGUGCUGGGCAUCGCAUUCGUUUUCCCUCUGGCCUGGUUGUAUGCGGUCUGCUUGCCUACCCGCGUCGGAGACACACUGGCCGCCACCGUGGUCGUAGUUCUGGCGGUGCAGAACAUCUUGUGGCUGUACUUCCCUUUCGUCAGCUUUAGGUCCUCGUACAAAGCGUACAAGAAGUGGCACGAAGAGAG